This 253-nucleotide ribosomal RNA is filed under the name uncultured bacterium. Its description in RNAcentral is "partial 16S ribosomal RNA". It matches the Rfam family "Bacterial small subunit ribosomal RNA", at positions 524 to 776 of the family's 1533-position model. The record is from RNAcentral.
UACAGAGGGUGCGAGCGUUAAUCGGAAUUACUGGGCGUAAAGGGCGCGUAGGCGGCCUUCUAAGUCGAACGUGAAAUCCCCGGGCUCAACCCGGGAACUGCGUCCGAUACUGGAAGGCUUGAAUCCGGGAGAGGGAUGUGGAAUUCCAGGUGUAGCGGUGAAAUGCGUAGAUAUCUGGAGGAACACCGGUGGCGAAGGCGACAUCCUGGACCGGUAUUGACGCUGAGGCGCGAAAGCCAGGGGAGCAAACGGG